UACGUAGGGUGCAAGCGUUAAUCGGAAUUACUGGGCGUAAAGCGUGCGCAGGCGGUUUUGUAAGUCUGUCGUGAAAUCCCCGGGCUUAACCUGGGAAUGGCGAUGGAGACUGCAAGGCUAGAGUUUGGCAGAGGGGGGUAGAAUUCCACGUGUAGCAGUGAAAUGCGUAGAGAUGUGGAGGAACACCGAUGGCGAAGGCAGCCCCUUGGGCUAACACUGACGCUCAUGCACGAAAGCGUGGGGAGCAAACAGG
This 253-nucleotide ribosomal RNA is filed under the name uncultured bacterium. Its description in RNAcentral is "partial 16S ribosomal RNA". It matches the Rfam family "Bacterial small subunit ribosomal RNA", at positions 524 to 776 of the family's 1533-position model. The record is from RNAcentral.